Molecule: long non-coding RNA, 445 nt
Organism: Daphnia carinata
Lineage: Eukaryota; Metazoa; Arthropoda; Branchiopoda; Diplostraca; Daphniidae
Exons: 3
Source: RefSeq, a predicted model, not a curated record
UGGAAGUCGUACUUGCCAUGAGAUAAGAAAAAUAAAAAUAGCAUUCGGGUUAGUACAUUCUAGUCUGGCUAAUCCAUAGUUAUUAAACAGUUUGGAAAAGGACAUUUUUCCAUGUAUUGCCCACAAGGAGGAGGUGGGAGUUGAGAAUGUAGGUGUCAUAAGAAGUGGGUCAUGUAGCAAGGAAUUUUCCACAAGGAGGGGUCAUUGGUGGCAGCAAGUGUUACAAGUGUCACGAAGUUGGCCACACCUCGAAAGGCUGUACGAAUCUAUUCGUGAAUUGACGAAAAACGGAAAGCCGCGUGAACAAUACAUUCCGGAAGCUGUGACAUGCGAUGAAAAUGAACUGUUUAAGUGGGAUCAUCUGUGGGGAACGCUUUAACAAUUUUGAUAAACUCGUUCUCCAUCGAAUCCAGCUAAGGCAUUUUUCGAAACAGUAUUUUAUGAU